This 419-nucleotide ribosomal RNA is filed under the name bacterium. RNAcentral describes it as "partial 16S ribosomal RNA". It matches the Rfam family "Bacterial small subunit ribosomal RNA", at positions 355 to 776 of the family's 1533-position model. The record is from RNAcentral.
UGGGGGAUAUUGCACAAUGGGCGAAAGCCUGAUGCAGCGACGCCGCGUGGGGGAUGAAGGCCUUCGGGUUGUAAACUUCUUUUGCUCUGAACAAGGCAUGCUAAUGGGUGUGUUGAGUGUAGGGGUUGAUUAGCGCCGGCUAACUACGUGCCAGCAGCCGCGGUAAUACGUAGGGAGCGAGCGUUGUCCGGAAUUAUUGGGCGUAAAGGGCUUGUAGGUGGCUGGUUGCGUCUGUCGUGAAAGCUCAUGGCUUAACUGUGGGUUUGCGGUGGGUACGGGCUGGCUUGAGUGCAGUAGGGGAGGCUGGAAUUCCUGGUGUAGCGGUAGAAUGCGCAGAUAUCAGGAGGAAUACCGGUGGCGAAGGCGGGUCUCUGGGCUGUUACUGACACUGAGGAGCGAAAGCAUGGGGAGCGAACAGG